This 442-nucleotide ribosomal RNA is filed under the name uncultured bacterium. RNAcentral describes it as "partial 16S ribosomal RNA". It matches the Rfam family "Bacterial small subunit ribosomal RNA", at positions 338 to 795 of the family's 1533-position model. The record is from RNAcentral.
CCUACGGGUGGCUGCAGUGGGGAAUAUUGGGCAAUGGGCGUAAGCCUGACCCAGCAACGCCGCGUGAAGGAAGAAGGCCUUCGGGUUGUAAACUUCUUUUAAGAGGGAAGAGCAGAAGACGGUAUCUCUUGAAUAAGCUACGGCUAACUACGUGCCAGCAGCCGCGGUAAUACGGAGGGUGCAAGCGCUGUCCGGAUUUACUGGGUGUAAAGGGCGUGAAGCCGGGAAGACAAGUCACGUGUGAAAUCCCGCGGCUCAACCGGGGAACUGCCUUUGAAACUGGUUUUCUUGAGUAUCGGAGAGGACAGCGGAAUUCCUUGUGUAGCGGUGAAAUGCGUAGAUAUAAGGAAGAACACCAGUGGCGAAGGCGGAUGACUGGACGGCAACUGACGGUGAGGCGCGAAAGCGUGGGGAGCAAACAGGAUUAGAUACCCCUGUAGUC